AUGAAAUUAUCUGUCACAGUUCCCAAAUUGCUCUUAUUCCAUCAGUUCAGGUCACUGGAAGCUGAUUUUACCCAGAAGUGUUCAGGAUGUCCCAACUCUAUUGCUCUGGCCUUCUUAAAAUACCUUGAUUUCAGAUUUCAGAAGGAAAUGCACCCCCCCCACACACACACACACACAUACUGUGCACAAAGCAUGCAUCUAACCCACUGCCAGGCAUAUAGAAGGGUCUCAAUAGAUGUCAGUUCUCUUCCAUCCUACUGCCCACUUCCUGCUACUUACAUGUCCCUUUUAAAUAAAAGUGUCAUCUCAGGUACAUAGAUAUUUGCCAUAUGUAGUAUAAAAUACAACCUUAUACACACAUCCACACAGAUAUGCACAGACAUAAACUGGACUUACUUGAUAAACACUGUGGCAUUACCAUUCUGUGUUUUAAAACUAUGCACGCUAAUUUUCUAGAGGACAGAAGGCAAGUGUCACACAAAUUAAGUAUCCUCACAGACAAAAGCAGCUGUCUCACCUCACUUAACAUCCCCACGGUCAUGUUUAACAGCCCUAGCUUUAAAACUACCACUGGAGGUAUGUUUAAAUUUCAGGGAAAAUACAGUUCUGGACAUCUGGAUUAAUUAAAAAUAAUCUGUCUCUCCCUAAGGAUAAUAUUGAUAAACCCAUAUAAUAUAGUCACACACUUAUGCUAAAGAUACACAUUUGGCAUAUUUUUUAAAUUAUUCUUCUGUUUAUUACUAAUCUAGGAAUAUGUUUAACCAACAAGCUGUGCCUUGAUUACAGGCCAUUGUUAUGCAUUAAUAAAUACACUUGCUUGGAUUUCACAUCCAUGGUUAAAUUCUGCCUUGUAGUAAAUAAGAGGGAUUAAAAAUUGGACCAAACUGUCCCAUGACAGCAUCCACACAGAGUAUUACUUAUAGAAAUUGAUCAAUUUGUUUCAGGGAAUAAACUGCAAAUAAAAGCAAACCAUGAUCCUUCUAACUGUCCUUAUAUACUCUAGAAAAAAAUAAUUGCAAAUUUCCCAUUGUAUUCUCUCUCCUAGGCUGAAUCUUUUUUUUUUUUUUUUUUAAGAUUUUAUUUAUUCAUUCAUGAGAGAGGCAGGGACAGAGGCAGAGAGAGGCCUAUGUCCACCUGUAGGGAACCUGACACGGGACUCGAUCCAAGGACCCCGGGAUCACUCUCUGAGCCAAAGGAAGAUGCUCAACCACUGGGCCACCCAGGUGUCCCCCUAGGCUGAAUCUUAAAGUGCAAAUAGAGUUUACCAUGAAGCACUGAAGGAAAAUUUGACAGGAGAGUGGGCAGGCCAUGCAAAGGUCCAGAGUGAAGAAGAGAACAACAUGGUGGAGAACUCUCUUGCCUUCUUCAUGGCUGCAGCACACAUGGUAAGAGAAGUGCUGCACAUUCUCUAAAAUCCAUUUCAGCUCUGAAAUCCUCUGAUAAUGGUGAUCAUAAUACACUGGGGUUUUCUUUGUGGCUCAGAUCUAGGGAAGCAGAAGUAAGUUUUGACCCUCAAAGCAGAAUAUGCAUCCAUUUAAACCAAAUUUCCUUGUCCAGACAAAAUAUAGCACCCCCUACAUUCCUGUCCAGGAAAGACAGAAACUCUAGGUUCCUUUUUCCAUCUGAGUUUCUAACUAGCUAAUGUUCCUCCCCUCCCCAGCCUGAAGCACAGGGCUGGGUGCCAAAGCUGAGGGUACAGAUUGGAUACUGUCCU
This 1714-nucleotide long non-coding RNA is filed under the name Canis lupus familiaris (dog). RNAcentral's name for it is "lncRNA (ENSCAFG00000050511.1)". Lineage: Eukaryota; Metazoa; Chordata; Mammalia; Carnivora; Canidae. The record is from RNAcentral.